UACCUGGGUGGUGGGAUCAUUUGUACACCAAACUUCAGCGACACGCGAUUUACCCAUGCAACAAACUUGCACAUACAUGUGUUGAACCUAAAAUAAAAAUUAAAAAAAAAAAAAGGAUCUGUGGUUUUCAGGGGUUGGACGGGGUUGUGGGAGUGGAGAGGGAUGAAUGGGCAGAGCACAGAGAAUUUUUAGGGCAGUGAAACUCCUCUGUAUGAUAUCAUAAUGGUGGAUACCUGUCAUUACACAUUUGUCCAAACCCAUAGGAUGUACAACCCCAGAGUGAGCCCUACCAAAGACUGUGGACUCUGGAUGAUAAUGAUAUGUCAAUCUGUGCUUUUCCUGCAGGGACUGAACAAGGGCAGUGUGUGCACAUGUGGGAGUGCCAGAAGCACCAGCGCAAUCCAGAUGUGCCCAGGCCCAUCUGUGCGUGAAAAUGCAGACACACCACACUAUUUAUCAAUUAGUGUCUGCUGCUGCCAGUGUCACCAGUUCUCUGCCUGAUGAAUGAUGCUAGGCUGGACAAGCCACACCCCAAGAUAUCCCGCUGCACUCAGAUACAAGACUGAAGAAGCAAGAACGUUAUAAAAAAGAAAGAAUGAAAAGAAAGAAGAAAAGCAACUAAGCCCAGAGAUGGAUCCCAAAACUGAAGAAUUGGUUUAAUUAAAUUGAAAGCUCUGGUGCUUGUGGUAAUUGCUAUGAAGGAAUCCAUAUCCCAUCAGAACCCUCUCCCCUGGAGUUUGCUCCCUCUACUUUCUCUGCAGCAGCCUGCUAGCCAGAGUCAAAGACUGUGUGCAUUUGAAAUCUCCAACCUUUUAAAACAUUACUGUGAAGUUGAAAGUUCCUGGUGUCUUUUGAUUAAACAUCGUGCUAGCAACAAUAAUAUUGACCACGUUUGAGACAGAAGAGCCACAAGAGGGAAUUAGCCUAAAUUCCUAAGCGCCCACCUGGAAAGGAUCCUCCUUGGAAGAUCUGUCAGAUCCAUAGUAAACUUUGAAUGAAAGAGAAAUAAAAUGUUAUGUGUUAAAGUUCCUGAA
This 1034-nucleotide long non-coding RNA is filed under the name Homo sapiens (human). RNAcentral describes it as "HSALNT0343506". The record is from RNAcentral. Lineage: Eukaryota; Metazoa; Chordata; Mammalia; Primates; Hominidae.